Molecule: ribosomal RNA, 253 nt
Filed under: uncultured bacterium
Lineage: Bacteria
Description: partial 16S ribosomal RNA
Rfam family: Bacterial small subunit ribosomal RNA
Source: RNAcentral
UACAGAGGGGGCAAGCGUUGUUCGGAAUUACUGGGCGUAAAGGGCGCGUAGGCGGCCUGCUAAGUCGAACGUGAAAUCCCCGGGCUCAACCCGGGAACUGCGUCCGAUACUGACAGGCUUGAAUCCGGGAGAGGGAUGCGGAAUUCCAGGUGUAGCGGUGAAAUGCGUAGAUAUCAGGAGGAAUACCGGUGGCGAAAGCGACUCUCUGGACGGCAACUGACGCUGAGGCACGAAAGCGUGGGGAGCAAACAGG